AGACUCCGGUUGAUGAGCUGCUGGCUGCCUAGAACCUUACAGAUGGCUUAUUUCAGGGAGAGUGAAUGCAUAGAACUGUAUUCUCAUAGGCCUGUUGGUAAGAGGGCAUAUUAGACCCUAAAGCUUUUGGAUAAAGAGAAAUAAAGAUUUGCUUAAUAAUAAAUCAAGAAUGUCUCCUCUUAGAGAUGGAGCCCCACUCUGUUGCCCAGACUGGAGUGCAGUGGCGUGAUCUCGGCUCACCGCAACUUCCGCCUCCCGGGUUCAAGUGAUUCUCCUGCCUCAGCCUUCCAACUAGCUGGGAUUGCAGUGGGAAAUCUGAAAACGUGGAAACCCAAUCCCAUGAGUCAUCUCUGAAAGGAUCACAUGUAAGGUCUGGGAAGAUGGGUCUCUACUGACAGUGUGACAGGAAAGGUUGUCCCUUCCUUCAGGGUUUGUAAAAGAAGUAAUAAGUCAACCAAGAGUGACCUGCUGUUGGAGCAAAACAGGGACACACUAUAGAAUAUGGAAGAAGAGGGACGAUGUCUAGCCAAAUAAGGAACUGAAGGUUCUGAUGAAACCACUUGUAACUUUCAGCCUGGUUGCCUAGCUUUGCUACAGAAAGUUGAGGUCCAGUCACUUUGGGUACAGGGUACAGAUGAAGAAGGAGCACCCCCAGGAGGCUACAGUGUGAAGGCAGUUCAUUGCUAAUGCUAUGAAUCUUGAAGCAGUAGGAAGAAUCCACAUUCUACUUCCCCGUUUUCAUAUGCAGGAGUACAGAAUGAACUAUUAAUACACAAAUGGAUU
RNAcentral lists this long non-coding RNA (783 nucleotides) under Homo sapiens (human). RNAcentral's name for it is "novel transcript". The record is from RNAcentral. Lineage: Eukaryota; Metazoa; Chordata; Mammalia; Primates; Hominidae.